AAGAACUCAGUGUAUUUUCGUUCUGGCCCUCCGUCUUUAUCAUAUUUCCCUCACUCCGAAUCUCCGAUCGACGGCGGCGGAAGCGGAGCUCCGGCAAGCGGUGACCACCGGCGAUGGUGGCGAUCGAUGGCGCGAACAGGGAUCAACGUCCUUCCUAGGUGAACAGGUAAUUAAUUGCCACCAUUCUCUGAAAAAAUUGACUGGAAGUCUGGAAGUAUGAAACCGUGCAUGCUACUCCCUGAAUGCUUUAGUUCAAUCUCCAUAAAGCUCCAUCCAAACAAAAUCUUCAGAUGAUAUUUCAUUAAAAACAAUCAUGCCCAAGAACUGUGCAACAUCCAAAACUGGCUAUAAUCUUUGCUGAAUUAUGUACUUGGGAUUCAUAUUACAUUAUCAAAUCCAGUUAUUUUCUGGAGCUACACCAGAUGAAAUCACCAAGUAAAACAAUUAUAUAAGGACGGUGAGUUGUUAAUUAAUUACAGCUUUGAUACACCACUCUGUUUGUUAAUGCCUGAUAGAGUUCAGAAAGAAAAAAAAUAUACAGGAUUACACAUAUUUUUAGAUACAACAACCUUAGUAAUAUCUAAUGUGUGUUAAUUCUCUCAAAUACUAUGAACCUGAAAAAACAAGAGAGAACAUGUUUGUGAAUUGUGAUAUCCUCAUGCGAGUGACCUAAAACUCUCUACAGGGUCAGACUCCUCAAGCAUCACCGCAGCCUGAAAACAAUCAGCAGCAUCAUUGAUCCUCCCAUCAUUCCUGUGAACUUUCCCUAAAUGAAGCCAAGCC
RNAcentral lists this long non-coding RNA (783 nucleotides) under Oryza sativa (Asian cultivated rice). Its description in RNAcentral is "long non-coding RNA (OSAT_LNC000056)". Lineage: Eukaryota; Viridiplantae; Streptophyta; Magnoliopsida; Poales; Poaceae. The record is from RNAcentral.